Molecule: long non-coding RNA, 319 nt
Filed under: Zostera marina
Lineage: Eukaryota; Viridiplantae; Streptophyta; Magnoliopsida; Alismatales; Zosteraceae
Description: long non-coding RNA (ZMAR_LNC001853)
Source: RNAcentral
AAAAACCAUCUCUCAAGGCAAGAAGCGACAUAACUCUUCCCAGAAAAAUUUGGAUUUGCAAAACACCAUGAACGAAAUAAUCAAUCAAUUUUUUACUUUCUUCCACCAUUUAUAUAUAUAUAUAUAUAUUUUUUAUAACGGAAGCAUUUUUAUAAGUAAAAAGACCUAUCACAGAAAUUAAAUAAAAAUUAUUGUCGUCAGUUAAACCUUAAACUCUUAACAACUUUAACAGUUAUUGUGGCAAGUUAAAUUAAUUUUCUUACGUGCUAUUUAUAUUUAUUGUAUUAGAGGACAGUAUCUUUUUUUUUUGAGUUAAAAC